UGGUCGUACAGGAGAAGAGCAGGGGCGACACCCCACUCUUACAAACCUAAAAAUCACUAGAACUCUCAAAUUGAAGGUUAAAUCCUGUCCCAAAUCAAAAUCCGAGCAUAGAUUAUUGAUCCUCAUCGCAAGAGGAUUCCAAGGUGAUUAAUGGGCGAAGAAUCCGGAACGUCAAGCGAACAAGCCGGAGGUGAUACACGCUUGAAAGGUGUACUUUGAAGGUACGUAACUACGGUUCCGUUACAUUAUGCUUAAAUUCGUAUUUUCGUUAUUAGGCUUCAAAUUAGCAUAAUAUAUGAAAUUGACAUUUAAUGGAAGUGUCAAAGAUCACUAGGUAAAUAAACGGGUCAAAAGGUGAAAUUAUCACCCUUUGACAAUAUCGACUAAUGGUUUGUCGAGUUAUUUGUUUAUAGGAAUAAAUAUCAAACGGAUACGCACAUCGCUAUUGCUUAGCGGCUACUAAGUCAAGGUAUUGAAACGGGUCAAUAUAUUGAUCUGAGCCAGGUAUGUUUAAUAACACACCUCAUCAAGUAGAGUUUGGAGUUCUAUAAGAGUUAGACAAUGUUAAAGUGUAGAUAUUCGGUUAUCUUUAAGGUAAACCGAAUAAAUUUAAUUAUGUUCAUGGUGUUUUAGAAGUACAUGGGUUUAUAAAUAAGAUUAUAGUUAGAAGGGUCGGAUUUUGGGUCAAUCAAGUAUUUAAAGGACCCUGUAGUUAAAGAAGAAUGAAAAUUGACCAAAUUGCCCUUGUAAGCUAAUUCAGACGAACGACCCUUAAAGGUGGUUCGAAAUAAGUUUUAUGAUUAUAUAAAUGCUUAGGAUAAGUUAGAUAGUGAAAAACAUAAAUUCUUUGGUCGAAGGGCUUUAUAUGAGUCUUUGCCGUAAAAGGGUAAUCCGAGGGGUAAUAACUCGGAACACAUAGAAGUCCGCCUUAAACCCAAAACAUAUAUAGUUGUAGUGGGAGAUUACUUGUUGAGAAAUAUAGGGAUAACAUGCUAGAAAUGAAUGAAAGCAAUUUCAAACUUUAAAGUGCUUAAAUAUCUUUAACGGGUCAAAAUAAGCAUACGAGCGAAAACGGAUUUAAAUUGUCUAAUAAACCUAUGAAUAGAACCUAAUAUAGUAGGUAACAUAUAUUAGAAGAAGUAUAUGAGAUAUAGGAAUCAAAUAAAUAGGUUUGUUUGAUAAAAUGCAUAAACGGGUUAAAAGUCGGUAUAAAGGGUAAUAAGCCGAGGAUUAAAAGUCUGAAAUUUUAUUAAGUUGAAUGUUGGGUUUUAACUCCAUAAGAUGGAGGAUUUAAUUACGGACGCGUAGGAAAAAGAAUCGCGUAAAACGGAUCAAUAACGAAGAAGUUAUGGCCGUUUCCGUGAAAUCGAGUUGAGCCGGGAAUGUACAGCGACAGCUGAAGAAACCUGGUGUAAAAAAAGGGGGCUCGCGUGACACCUAGGCCCUAGGCGUCACGCGACACCCCUAACUCCGAAAAUUUUUAAUUUUUUGUCAUUUUUAACCCCUGUACUUGUAUGAACUAAAUAUUUGACUAUCAAAACUAACUUUUAAGUUGGUUUUGAUCAUAGGUGAACGUCAAGGGUGCACGGAUGAAGAUCAAGCGUCGAGCAAGAACCGAACACGAUUACGAAAUAAGCUUCCGCACUACGUAUUGUUAUUAUGUUAAACGACGAAUGUACACAUGAUAUGUUAUAGACUUUUUAAAUCUUAAAAAGUUUUAAUAAACCCGGAAUUUUUAAU
Molecule: long non-coding RNA, 1740 nt
Filed under: Helianthus annuus (common sunflower)
Lineage: Eukaryota; Viridiplantae; Streptophyta; Magnoliopsida; Asterales; Asteraceae
Description: hypothetical non coding rna
Source: RNAcentral